RNAcentral lists this transfer RNA (72 nucleotides) under Camelus dromedarius (Arabian camel). It matches the Rfam family "tRNA". Rfam says of the family: Transfer RNA (tRNA) molecules are approximately 80 nucleotides in length. Their secondary structure includes four short double-helical elements and three loops (D, anti-codon, and T loops). The record is from Rfam by way of RNAcentral. Lineage: Eukaryota; Metazoa; Chordata; Mammalia; Artiodactyla; Camelidae. RNAcentral also lists the same sequence under 2 other names.
GAGGGUGUAGCUCAGUGGUAGAGUGCCUGCCUAGCAUGCACAAGGUCCUGGGUUCAAUCCCCAGUACCUCCA